ACGCUGGCGGCACGCCUAACACAUGCAAGUCGAACGAAGUAGCAAUACUUAGUGGCAGACGGGUGAGUAACAUGUAGGUAUCUGCCCUUUGGCCUGGAAUAACACGAGGAAACUUGUGCUAAUACCGGAUAAGUCUUUACGGAGAAAGCUUUAUGCACCAUUGGAUGAGCCUGCACUUGAUUAGUUUGUUGGUGGGGUAAUGGCCUACCAAGACUGUGAUCAAUAGCUGAUUUGAGAGGAUGAUCAGCCACAUUGGGACUGAGACACGGCCCAAACUCCUACGGGAGGCAGCAGUGGGGAAUCUUGCACAAUGGAGGAAACUCUGAUGCAGCGAUGCCGCGUGAGUGAAGAAGGCCCUUGGGUUGUAAAGCUCUUUCGUCGGGGAAGAAAAUGACUGUACCCGAAUAAGAAGGUCCGGCUAACUUCGUGCCAGCAGCCGCGGUAAUACGAAGGGACCUAGCGUAGUUCGGAAUUACUGGGCUUAAAGAGUUCGUAGGUGGUUGAAAAAGUUAGUGGUGAAAUCCCAGAGCUUAACUCUGGAACUGCCAUUAAAACUUUUCAGCUAGAGUAUGAUAGAGGAAAGCAGAAUUUCUAGUGUAGAGGUGAAAUUCGUAGAUAUUAGAAAGAAUACCAAUUGCGAAGGCAGCUUUCUGGAUCAUUACUGACACUGAGGAACGAAAGCAUGGGUAGCGAAGAGGAUUAGAUACCCUCGUAGUCCAUGCCGUAAACGAUGUGUGUUAGACGUUGGAAAUUUAUUUUCAGUGUCGCAGGGAAACCGAUAAACACACCGCCUGGGGAGUACGACCGCAAGGUUAAAACUCAAAUGAAUUGACGGGGACCCGCACAAGUAGUGGAGCAUGUGGUUUAAUUCGAAGAUACGCGCAGAACCUUACCAACACUUGACAUGUUCGUCGCGACUCUAAGAGAUUAGAGUUUUCGGUUCGGCCGGACGAAACACAGGUGCUGCAUGGCUGUCGUCAGCUCGUGUCGUGAGAUGUUGGGUUAAGUCCCGCAACGAGCGCAACCCUCACUUUUAGUUGCCAUCAUUAAGUUGGGCACUCUGAAAGAACUGCCAGUGAUAAGCUGGAGGAAGGUGGGGAUGACGUCAAGUCCUCAUGGCCCUUACGUGUUGGGCUACACACGUGCUACAAUGGUAUCUACAACAGGAAGCAAGACUGCGAAGUUAAGCAAAUCCCUAAAAGAUACCUCAGUUCGGAUUGCACUCUGCAACUCGAGUGCAUGAAGCUGGAAUUACUAGUAAUCGUGGAUCAGCGUGCCACGGUGAAUGCGUUCCCGGGUCUUGUACUCACCGC
RNAcentral lists this ribosomal RNA (1313 nucleotides) under uncultured bacterium. RNAcentral's name for it is "16S ribosomal RNA". It matches the Rfam family "Bacterial small subunit ribosomal RNA", at positions 33 to 1393 of the family's 1533-position model. The record is from RNAcentral.